Molecule: RNA transcript, 4791 nt
Organism: Centrocercus urophasianus (Greater sage-grouse)
Lineage: Eukaryota; Metazoa; Chordata; Aves; Galliformes; Phasianidae
Gene: ADARB1
Gene name: adenosine deaminase RNA specific B1
Exons: 13
Source: RefSeq, a predicted model, not a curated record
CAGGCCCUAUCUGCAAAAGAUGGUAGAGAAGCACGUCAUGGCUGGAGCAAACCCUGGAGUGUGCAGCUGCUACCAGGCAGAGCCAGGUAAUUGUUAUUACUGCCAUGCAGCGUUGGGAAAUUGAAAUACUGUACUAUUUGCGCUGUGUAACUUGGAUCUAGUUUGCUUACUGAAAGAUGUUGCAGUGUGCCAGCACCCUCUUGUGGGCUGUGGAAUAGUGUGGAAUUUUGACUUGCAAGAUGGAAAUGGCAAAAUCUCUUACAGCAGUGGCUGUAUAUUGUCCCAGGUUGCAGACUCAGCAUGUGUCCCUAAUAAUUAAAAAGACAGCAGCAGUCUCUGCCAGCCAAAAAAACCAUCAGAAGUAUUUCACAAUGGAUGUAGAUGAUGAAGAAAACAUGAGUUCAAGCAGCACUGAUGUUAAAGAAAACCGCAACAUGGACAACGUUCCCCCCAAGGAUGGCAGUGCACAAGGCACCGGGGAGGGGGCUCAGCUCUCCAAUGGUGGCAGCAGCAGCAGCAGCAGCAGCAGAAAGCGGCCUUUGGAGGAAGGCAACAAUGGCCACUCCAAAUUUCGCCCUAAGAAGAGGAAGAAAACACCAGGUCCUGUCUUGCCAAAGAAUGCCCUGAUGCAACUUAAUGAGAUCAAACCUGGUUUACAGUAUAAGCUGCUGUCCCAGACGGGGCCAGUUCAUGCCCCAAUGUUUGUGAUGGCUGUUGAGGUUAACGGACAGGUGUUUGAGGGCUCUGGCCCCACAAAGAAGAAAGCCAAGCUCCACGCUGCUGAGAAAGCUCUGCGGUCAUUUGUCCAGUUCCCAAAUGCAUCAGAAGCACACCUGGCCAUGGGGAGGACUCUCUCUGUCAACACGGACUUCACCUCUGACCAGGCAGACUUUCCUGACACACUUUUCAAUGGAUUUGAAACUCCAGUUCCUUCUGAUGCUUCCUUUUACCUAGGGUCCAAUGGGGAUGGCUCCUUUGGCGCCAGCAGGGAGUAUGGUCUGCCAUCAGCUGCUGUGGCAAGUAGCCUUACUCAGUUGCCUCUGCCUGCAUCAUUGCCAUACCCGACCGCGAGUGGGAAGAAUCCUGUAAUGAUCCUGAAUGAGCUCCGGCCAGGCCUGAAGUAUGAGUUUCUCUCAGAGAGCGGGGAGAGCCAUGCCAAAAACUUUGUCAUGGCUGUCGCUGUGGAUGGGCAAACAUUUGAAGGAUCGGGAAGGAAUAAAAAGCUUGCGAAAGCUCGGGCUGCUCAGUCAGCCCUGGCAUCCUUGUUUAACAUGCAGCUGGACCAGACUCCAUCUCGACAGCCCAUUCCUAGUGAGGGGCUCCAGUUACAUUUGCCACAGGUUUUAGCUGAUGCUGUUGCACGCUUGGUUGUAGAUAAAUUCUGUGAUUUGACAGAAAAUUUCACUUCUCCACAUGCACGUAGAAAAGUCCUUGCUGGAAUUGUCAUGACAACAGGUACGGAUGUGAAAGAUGCUCUGGUAAUAAGUGUUUCUACGGGAACAAAAUGCAUUAAUGGUGAAUAUAUGAGUGACCGUGGUCUUGCAUUAAAUGAUUGCCAUGCAGAAAUUAUAUCCCGCCGGUGCCUGCUUAAAUUUCUGUAUACACAACUCGAGCUUUAUCUAAGCAAUAAAGAUGAUCAGGAAAAAUCCAUUUUUAUCAAAUCAGAGCGAGGCGGUUUUAAACUGAAGGAGAAUGUACAGUUCCAUCUCUAUAUCAGCACGUCUCCUUGUGGAGAUGCUAGAAUUUUCUCACCACAUGAAGCAGCACAAGAGGAUCAAGGGGACAGACAUCCAAACCGCAAAGCAAGAGGACAGCUACGAACAAAAAUAGAAUCUGGGGAAGGGACGAUCCCUGUGCGCUCUACUACCACCAUCCAGACAUGGGAUGGAGUGUUGCAAGGAGAAAGGCUACUUACUAUGUCAUGCAGUGACAAGAUAGCAAGGUGGAACGUAUUGGGUAUUCAAGGAGCCUUACUUAGCCUCUUUGUGGAGCCAAUUUACUUCUCUAGCAUCAUCUUGGGGAGUUUAUAUCAUGGGGAUCAUCUAUCCAGAGCCGUAUACCAGAGGAUAGCAGAGAUAGAAGAUCUACCACCUCUUUAUACACUCAACAGACCUUUACUUAGUGGUAUUAGCAAUGCAGAAGCACGCCAACCAGGGAAAGCACCAAAUUUCAGUGUAAAUUGGACAGUGGGAGACAGUAGUCUUGAAGUUAUUAAUGCUACAACUGGCAAAGAUGAAAUGGGGCGUGCAUCUCGCCUCUGUAAGCAUGCUUUGUACAGCCGCUGGAUGCGUGUUCAUGCAAAGCUUUCGUCCAGCUUGCGCUUGAAGAUCUUCAAGCCUAACAUGUACCAUGAAACCAAGCAAGGAGCCACUGAGUAUCAAACUGCCAAAGAGUGUUUAUUUAAAGCAUUCCUGAAGGCAGGACUUGGAGCAUGGGUGGAGAAACCCAUAGAACAGGAUCAGUUUUCACUCACAGUCUAAUUCACAGUCUGCACGUCAGUUUGGAAGGGGAGUCGCUUUGGAAAUCCUGGUGUCCAGCAUUGCUUUCUGGCAUCUCCAUACCUGUUAAAACAUCUUUUUACUGUUUUUUCUUUUUCAAAGCUUGGUAGUAACUGUUUUGGUUUUGCCUAAGUAUUGAAACUCAAUGAUAAUCUGACACAUAAUUGUGUAUUUUGUUAUGAGAAAGUAAUUUCUGGUGUAUUUCUAGAAAUACUUUUACUGUAGAAAAUCUGCAGUAAGGUUGUCUGUCCUUACAGUAUACCAUGACUCAUUUUUUCUGGGUUAAAAUAAUUGCUUUUUUAAUUUGAUGUCAUCAAGUGCAUGAAGAAAUAAAUAUUUAUUUAGAUUUUACACCACACUUGUAAGAAGUAGCUUAAUUUUAUAAGAGGAAAAUAGGGAACGAAGAUGAUUCUUCUCUUUUAAGUUGUUUUUGAAUUGCAGAUGUUGCUAGCAUCAUCUACAUCAUCAUACAUGCUAGAUGUUGCUAGCAUGUAGCUAGACCACUGGGCCAGAAUGAAGUCUGGACAAGUAGUUUUCCCCACUUCCUUGCUCUUUAAAACCAGCUGCUGAGAAAUUCAUGUCUUUGAUGUAUGUAUUUAUUAGUCUAUGAUCCCAUUUUUAACAUGCAGCUUUCUAUUCUGGUUUUAAAAAUACAUUUACCUCCCAUUUACACACAUUGUGAAGUCUUUUUUUUUUUUAAACCAUUGUAAACUGGAAACAACAAAAUGAUUAUUUGUAAGUUAUGCAGUUUAGUCUAUAAUGUGCAGAACUCUGUUUAGAUGUAGGUGAUUUGUAUAUCCUUUGAACUCAUUAGAGUUACAAUAAUAAUUACAACAUGACAAUUUAGGAAAAUUUGCUCAUUUUGAGGUCACUAAGCUUGAAUGGCCAAAAAAAAGUCACUCAGUGAACAUUAAUUGUUCUCUUCUAAAAGAAAUGAAAAGCUCUUGUAUGGACAAAAAGGUUGUUAAAACUUCUCUUCUGCUUUCAUUCAAGUUGUUGUGUCCUUUUCAAGAUUUCAUUACCUUUUGGCUUUACAUGUGUGAUGGUCUUCAUGAAACUAAUUGGUUAACUUGUGGAAAAUUGUGAGGGAAGUCCUCAGUCCCCUCAAGGAUGAGCUGUCACGCUGCCCCAGCCUCUGCUUUGCCCAUGGCUGUUCCACUCAACACCAUGGGCUGGGUGUGAUUGCUGAUGCUCCUGUAUUCCUCGUAAGUCACCAUCACUGGACAUGUGUGAAGAGCAAUGUAUGUCAUUUCAAGCAAUUGUGAAAGAUAAGACAACUCUGCUUCCAGCAACUGCUGAAUUUUGUGGCUGACCUUUCUGUUCUGUUGAUUUCCAGUGCAUUUUGGAAGGCUGAUCUCCUUGUGAGAAGCCUCACUGCGCUGCAUGGGAAGGGUGUACGGGAGCUGGCCUGAGCAGCAGUCUGCAGUGCCACUCCAUGAGCUGCUUUGGUUCUCUUAUUUAUAUGUUUUUGCUCCUGUGUUUGCCUCAGGACCUUCAAAGGAUUUACAUAAAGAGGAACAACUUUGAUGCCAGUGAGUACUUGAAAGCUAAUCUAAGGUGUUUUUCUUCACAUGACAGCCUAGUGAUAAUAAAGUUUGUCAGUAAAACAAGAUUUAGAAGUUUGAUACGUAUUUAUUCUAUGGUAUCAUUUCAAGAAAUUUGACCAACUCAACUUCCUUUCUACUCCCUGCUGCUCUGUGCUGGAGAGCCCUCUGGGCAAGAUGCAGGGAGCAUGGGCCAAAUGAAAUAGCUGCUAAGAUGCUGGUGUUUCCUGGCCACCACCUUUCCUGGAGAAGUCCCAGCUCAGCUGGUUCCCAAUAGAUCUGAUGGUUUCAGGAUGCACUGGUUUUGUUGCAGUUUCUUUACAGCAACAAACAGUCCAGAGCAUUUGCAAAUUGACCACCAGGGAAGAAGGUUGCAAGAGUCUCUGUGGCAGACAGGCUGGGCAUUAUCGCUGCAUAUUGUGUGGUAUUUUACCUUAGGCAGGUGUUCUGAUCCCCCUGACAAGCAACUGGAUAAUAAUAAAGGCCUGGUUUUCCUUAGAAUAUCCAUUAGAUGAAAUGAGGCUGUAGAUCAAUCUGUGCAUGUAUUUUUGCAGGAUCGAGGGAAAGCUGGUUGGUUAGAUUUUAAGAAACGUACGAGCAUUGUACUGUCAACAAGAAAUGAGCCCAUGAAAUCUUGAUGUUUGAAGAUAAUCUGCACCCUGGUGUUACUGUGUUGCUACAGUUUGCAUUGCUUUUCUCAUCUCAUUGGGUUUUAAAGCUUUUAUUAAACUUAAAAAGAUGAGAGUGUU